AGUUUUGCGUAGUGGCAGUGUCGUAGCCAAUGAGGUUUAUCUGAGACACGAUUAUUGCUAACUGAAAACAUUCAGAAAAAAGUUAUGUGGUUGCUAAUGUGCACUAUGUAGUUAGACCUACAAUGGUUGCAUCUAUAUUAAAGAUG
Small nuclear RNA from Molossus molossus (Pallas's mastiff bat), 146 nucleotides. RefSeq annotates it as U4 spliceosomal RNA. The record is from RefSeq and is a predicted model, not a curated record. NCBI's taxonomy places the organism in Eukaryota, Metazoa, Chordata, Mammalia, Chiroptera, Molossidae. The transcript has a single exon.